Molecule: long non-coding RNA, 8932 nt
Organism: Hemicordylus capensis (graceful crag lizard)
Lineage: Eukaryota; Metazoa; Chordata; Lepidosauria; Squamata; Cordylidae
Exons: 5
Source: RefSeq, a predicted model, not a curated record
UGGCUUGAGGAAGGGAGAGCCCCGCGGGGCGCCGCUGUGAUGUGAGGAUGGGGGACUCGGGUGGCGCGUGCGUCGCGCCUGGAGCCUGCGUGGUGGCGUCAUGGGCGGUGGCGGGUACCAUCCGCUCGGAUCGCGCGCGCGCACGUGGGCAGAUUGAAUUGCCCAACGGCGGCAACGUCUCUCCUCGAGCGUGGAGGGAAAGGAGGGGCGGGGCUGAGGCGGCAGGCGCAGGUGACCGUUAGAAGGGGGCGGGGCCCUGAGGCCAAGGUAGGCACGGGCGGCAGGUGAGGAUGGCCGUUAGAAAGGAGAUAGGGGGGUUCUCCAUCCCCCCUUAUCAGUUACCGACAGAAUGGAUUCAGACUGUGGACAGGAGGCGGCGAGGCCUCCCUGCCCAGGACGCCCGCUUAGCCCUCCUCCGCCUAGCAGCAGCAGCGCCUCACGGGCCCAAAAGAAGCCCUUCUCAUUUGCUGCUCCAGCCUGCAUGAGGCACGCCUGCAGAUUGCCAUCAUUCCAGCAGGGCCAGCCCAGCCGCCGCCGCCCCCCCCCUUCCCCGCCCCGCAAUGAGUUAAGAAGCAAGAUCACCCAAGAGGAGGAAGGGAAAGGAUCUGGAAGAAAACGCCAGCCUAAAGAAUUCUGCCCCGUGCACAGAAGGCUAUCAUGAACCACCUUUUCCUUGUUUGGUAGAGAGAUGAUCGCAGGAGGUGCCCACAAAUGCAGUGUCCUUCGGGACAGAAGACCUCAAAGAUGUGCUAGAAAUGUUUGUUCGAGGCUUUUGGCUGGAUCCUCAUCUUCAGAGCACUGAAAACGGUAGCCCUGGCUUUCACUGGCAUUCGCCUCUUGGUGUCAAGAAGCACAAUGGUGGGCCACUUGCCCAAUGGAAGGUGAUUUCUCUGCAUGGGUUGCUGCAAAGCUCGUCACCUUAGAACUGGUGCCAAGAAGUGUCUUUUCUCAGUUGAGUUUAGGGAGCCAGUAUUUGGCCCUUCACCCUAGGUUUCUGGGCUCCUACAGGCCCGUGUUAGACUGCAAGUGAACCAUCAUUUUUCUAGAAAACCACCUUCUACUGAGUCGACCAAUGGUCCAUCAAGUUCAGUAUUGUCUACACUGACUGGCAGCAGCUUGGAAAUUCCAGGGAUGGAACCUGAGACCUUCUGCAUGCAAAGCAGAUCCUCUGCAACUGAGCUACAGCCCUUCCUCUGGAGCAGCUCUUUCAGAAGUUCCAAACUAGCAUCAGCCCUGAUCCUGCCACAGUGUGGCAAUCAUUGUACACAUGUAUAAAAGCCAGAAGGAAAGAAGUCUAUUGAGUUUGCUUAUGUGGUGCGGGAAAUGACAAAAGAGACACAUGCUGACUUUGAAGAGGAGGGAAACACACGCCUUGACAAAAUUUAGAAAGGAACUUAGCAGUAGGAACAGAAAGAAACUUUAGUUCAGUUUAUUAUGAUCAUUGAUCAAAUAUACAUUCCAUAUCCAGAUAAAGGGAUCCUUAAAAGUGGGUGUUGAUACUGAUGUAUGUAUACACACACAGGAACUAUUCCAUACAGUUGAAAUAAAAUAGAAUAGAAUGAGAACAAUUAAAAACCUGUAUUAACCAUUUUGAACACACCAUGAGCGGAUCUUAAUUGCAGCCAUGCAGAAUUUGGCCACUAGAUGUGAGACAUCAGUGUGUUGAUCAGGAAGAAACAGGUUUAUAUAAGACUGGUCAGAGUUAUUUGGGUAUCUAAAAACGAGGAGCAAUAUAUCUAAAAUACAAAUCAUGAUCGAAGCAACAAUACAAAAGCACAUGGUCAGUGGUCUCAACAUCGCCAUUCCCACAAGGACACAGUCCGUCCGAAUAAGGGACUCUCCUAAACCUACCUUCAGAUACCAGAGAGGGCAGCACAUCCAGCCGGGCUAAUGGCAGGGCUCCUCUUUGUGGUGGAUAUGUCAGAUUAUACAGACUCUCCAGUGAACUAGCAGAAGUCUGGCCAAGCAGCCAGAGCAAGAACAGGAAUGUAACAACACGUGAGCAGGCCCAAGCAGGAAGGCUCCCAGCAGAGAAGAGGGGGCCAGGUAGAAGAGGCAGAGUUCAGAAGGAGAGACCUCGUUCCCAUGAUGCUAGGACAUAUUCUGAAUACCAGGUGCAGCCACAUCCCAUGGGGAUCUUCCUGCAGACAGGAUUCUGGGGUGUUGGGGGGCACCUGCCCCCACUGCUGCCUUGCCCACAGAUUGCCGCUGGAAGGUGGGCCAGUCUAUGGAUGUCUCAUGCCCACAAAGCCAUGGGACAGAUCAGACCAUGGCUCUUCCCAAUGCUGUGAGUGUUGGGAUCCUAGCGUUUAGUUCUGAGUAUCAUCAGUGGCACUAUUGGUGAAGAAAAGUCCUAAGGAACUGGAUCCGUCACCAGGACAAUGAGAAGAGGAGAGGCCUAGUGGAGGACUCCAGACAGAGGCCAGAUGUUGGUGUUUUUGGUAGUGUCCUGCAGACUCUGCUCUCUUGCCUCUGAAGUGAUGAGAGCCCCGUUGUUGGGUGGUGCCCUUCUGCUGCUGCCUCCUUUUUUCCAAGGGGUCACCACUAGAAGAUCAGCCGAUCUACGCAUGGCUUGCACCUGAAGCAAUGGCAUUUGGGAAGGAUCAGAUGGCUGCUCUUCCCAAGGGGUUGGCUUUGUGGGGCAGUGUGGUAGCCAUGGUUUGGCCACAGAGCUGGAGGCUAGUGGUGCACUAGUACUGCAAAAAAAUACCACAGUACUGCAAUGGAAACCAUUUCUUUAAGUGCUUACCUUCAAGCAUCAGCUGGUGGGGGUGCAUUCUUUGGACAGCCUGUUUCACCAUGGCAGGGGAGAGUUGGCAAGAUCUAGCAGAAGGACUCCAGCAGCCUGGAUGUUGUAUUGGGUGUGGUCCUUCCACCGCUGCUGCCUCGCACCCAAAGGGUCCCCACUGGAGGACCAGCCAGUCGGCAGAGGCCUCGCACCAGAAGAUACAGCCCUUGGGAAGGAGCAGGUGGUGGUCUCCCUCCCCAAAGGUGUGGCUUCGGGCGAGAGCGUGGUGGCGGUGGUCUGGCCAUAGGGCAAGAGGCGAGCGGUGGAUUCUCCCAGGAGGAAGGGUCUGGCUCUGCCUUGGGGACAGGGGCAUAUGGUACAUUAGGCAUGGGGAGACAGUCGUCUCCUGGCCCGCUGCCUCAAAGGGCCCCCCAAGAGUGAGGCCAGCCGUGCUGUGAGCGGCCCUGCACCAGCAGGCAGACACUUCGGGUGCGGAUGGGAAGGUCUUGCCUGUCCUUCCUUGCUUUGCUGCCGCCCCCACGACCUCUCUACGGCCAGUGCAACUUCCAGUAAAGAUCUGCUUGUAGCUAGCUGGGAACAGGACGUUCCCUGUUCCCAGCAUCCCGUGGGUGGCGACCUCACACUGCAGACGCCAUCUUGAGUGCCCAGGUGGAUUCUUCAAGGAGGAGGGGUCUGGCUCUGCCUUGGGGAGCCUCAGCACUUGAAUGGUCAGCGCUGGCAACAGGUCGAGCCUCUGGCAGUUGCCAGGAUGACAGGAGGGGCUUCAGCAGAGGUCGGCCCAUUGGGGUGAGGGCCUUCAUCCAGGGGUGGUUAAUUACAGAAUUCUGGGGAGGAACCGUCUCCCUGGGCAAGCUAGAAGGACAGUCCUGCCCCAGUGGGAAGAAGUCCUACCCAGGCUCCCCAAGGUCCAGGUUCCUCCGGGGGAUGGGCUGCAGUAAUUUGGCCCGCUCCACCGCAGCCUGCAGCCUCCUGUGGAGACUCCCAUCCUCCAAGUGGGGAAGGGGUUUCCCCCCAGAAGGCACACUCCCACCUGCUGCAUUGGCCACACGCUGAGUGGUCUUGAUCCUCUGCGGGAGGGCUUGUGGGCUGCCCUCCUGUGGUGGCUUCCCCUGGGUGCUGGUUGCUUCCUGGGGCAGCCUCUUGGUUCUUUUUGGAGACCUCACCCUUUCCGUUGACAGUCCAGCCACAGGGGCUGGGCCAUCAAGGGAAAGGGUGGAUUCCUGUGAGGCCUGGCUGGAACUGGCCUCAGGCACCAGCAGCUUCCGGACCACCGUGUGGUAGCUGGAGGUGAUGUGCCAGGUCUUCUGCCAGGUCUCUCCUCUUUAUUUGCUAUUUAUUUAUAGUCUUUUCUUGGGCCAGGCGCCUUCACCAUGGCAGUGAGAGUCGGAGAGACCUAGUGGAAAGACUCCAGCAGCGCAAAUGGUGUAUUAGGUGGGACCCUUCCACCGGAGGAUCAGGCCGUGGGCGGAGGCCUCGCACCACAAGACACGACCCUAGAGGAGGAGCAGGUGGUGGUCUCUCUCCCCCAGGGCAUGUCGGCGGUGAAUGGGCCACAGAGCCGGAGGGGAGCGGCGGAGUCCCCCAGGAGGAAGGGUCUGGCUCUGACUUGUGGAGCCUCAGCGCUUGAAUAGUUAGCGCUGGCAACAGGUCAAGCCUCUGGCGGGUGCCAGGAUGAUGGUAAGGGCUUCAGCAGAGGCCAGCCCAUCGCGGUCAGGGCCUUCUUCCGGGGGUGGUUUUUUAAAGAAGUCUGGGGAGGAACCGUCUCCCCGGACAAGCCAGAAGGAUGGCCCUUCCCCAGUGGGAAGAAGUCCUUCCCAGGCUCCCCAAGGUCCAGGUUCCUCCUGGGGAUGGGCUGGAGUAUUUUUGCCCGCUCCACCGCAGCCUCCAGCUUCCUUCUGUGGAGUCUCCCUUACCCAAUGUGCAAAAGUGUUUCCCCUAGAAGGCACACUCCCACCUGGUGCUUUGGCCACACGCCAAGCAGCCUUUUCUCUUCCACAGGAGGGCUGGUGGCUUGCCCUUAGAGCUGGUUUCUUCCUGGGGAUACCACUUUGACCUUUGGGCAGGCUUUGCCAUUUUGACCAUUUCUGUCUUGUCUGCCCACAGGGGCUGGGCCAUCAAAGGAAAGGGUGGAUUCCUGUGAGGCCUGGCUGGAACUGGCCCCAGGCACCAGAGGAGGCAGCAGCAACUUCCGGACCACUGUGUGGUUGCUGGAGGUGAUGUGCCAGGUCUUCUGCCAGGUGUCUCCUCUUUAUUUGCUAUUUAUUUGUAGUCUUUUCUUGGGCCAGGCGCCUUCACCAUGGCAGUGAGAGUCGGAGAGACCUAGUGGAAAGACUCCAGCAGCGCAAAUGGUGUAUUAGGUGGGACCCUUCCACCGGAGGAUCAGGCCGUGGGCGGAGGCCUCGCACCACAAGACACGACCCUAGAGGAGGAGCAGGUGGUGGUCUCUCUCCCCCAGGGCGUGCCUUUGGGCGGGGGUGUGGUGGCGAUGGACGGGCCACAGAGCUGGAGGGGAGCGGCGGAUUCCCCGAGGAGGAAGGGUCUGGCUCUGCCUUGGGGAGCCUCAGCGCUUGGAUAGAUAGUGCUGGCAACGGGUCGGGCCUCUGCCGAGCCUCUGGCGGUUGCCAGGAUGAUGGUAAGGGCUUCAGCAGAGGCCAGCCCAUUGGGGUCAGGGCGUUCAUCCUGGGGUGGUUCUUUAAAGAAGUCUGGGGAGGAACCGUCUCCCCGGACAAGCCAGAAGGACGGCCCUUCCCCAGUGGGAAGAAGUCCUUCCCAGGCUCCCCAAGGUCCAGGCUCCUCCUGGGGAUGGGCUGGAGUAUUUUUGCCCGCUCCACCGCAGCCUCCAGCUUCCUUCUGUGGAGUCUCCCUUACCCAAUGUGCAAAAGUGUUUCCCCCUAGAAGGCACGCUCCCACCUGGUGCUUUGGCCACACACCAAGCAGCCUUUUCUCUUCCACAGGAGGGCUGGUGGCUUGCCCUUAGAGCUGGUUUCUUCCUGGGGAUACCACUUUGACCUUUGGGCAGGCUUCAUCAUUUCUGCCAUUUCUGUCUUUGCCUACAGGGGCUGGGCCAUCAAGGGAAAGGGUGGUUUCCUGUGAGACCUGGCUGGCACUGGCCCCAGGCACCAGAGGAGGCAGCAGCAACUUCCGGACCACUGUGUGGUUGCUGGAGGUGAUGUGCCAGGUCUUCUGCCAGGUGUCUCCUCUUUAUUUGCUGUUUAUUUGUAGUCUUUUCUUGGGCCAGGCGCCUUCACCAUGGCAGUGAGAGUCGGAGAGACCUAGUGGAAAGAUUCCAGCAGCGCAAAUGGUGUAUUAGGUGGGACCCUUCCACCGGAGGAUCAGGCUGAGGGCGAGGCCUCUCACCACAAGACACGACCCUAGAGGAGGAGCAGGUGGUGGUCUCUCUCCCCCAGGGCGUGCCUUUGGGCGGGGGUGUGGUGGCGAUGGACGGGCCACAGAGCUGGAGGGGAGCGGCGGAUUCCCCGAGGAGGAAGGGUCUGGCUCUGCCUUGGGGAGCCUCAGCGCUUGGAUAGAUAGCGCUGGCAACGGGUCGGGCCUCUGCCGAGCCUCUGGCGGUUGCCAGGAUGAUGGUAAGGGCUUCAGCAGAGGCCGGCCCAUUGGGGUCAGGGCGUUCAUCCUGGGGUGGUUCUUUAAAGAAGUCUGGGGAGGAACCGUCUCCCCGGACAAGCCAGAAGGACGGCCCUUCCCCAGUGGGAAGAAGUCCUUCCCAGGCUCCCCAAGGUCCAGGCUCCUCCUGGGGAUGGGCUGGAGUAUUUUUGCCCGCUCCACCGCAGCCUCCAGCUUCCUUCUGUGGAGUCUCCCUUACCCAAUGUGCAAAAGUGUUUCCCCCUAGAAGGCACGCUCCCACCUGGUGCUUUGGCCACACACCAAGCAGCCUUUUCUCUUCCACAGGAGGGCUGGUGGCUUGCCCUUAGAGCUGGUUUCUUCCUGGGGAUACCACUUUGACCAGGCUUCAUCAUUUCUGCCAUUUCUGUCUUUGCCUACAGGGGCUGGGCCAUCAAGGGAAAGGGUGGUUUCCUGUGAGACCUGGCUGGCACUGGCCCCAGGCACCAGAGGAGGCAGCAGCAACUUCCGGACCACCGUGUGGCUGCUGGAGGUGAUGGGCCUCCUUCCGCCAGAUCUCUCUUCCUCUGCUCCUGAAUAGAAAGAAAAUUUCAUUUUUAUUCAUUUCAGGGUCUGUCUCUGCCUUGCAGGGGGGGCACGUGUCCCAGCACUUGGAUGGUCAGCGCUGGGAAAGGGUCGAACCUCUGCUGUGCCGAUGGCAGUUGCCAAGAUAAUGGCAGUGGCUUCAGCAAGGGUUGUCCCAUUGCGGUCAGGGCCUUCUUCUGGGGGUGGUUAGUUAAAGAAGUCUGGGGAGGAACUGUCUCCCCGGACAAGCCAGAAGGACUGUGCUCCCCCAGUGAGAAGAAGUCCCGCCCAGGCUCUCCAAGAUCCAGGUUCCUCCUGGGGGUGGGCUACAAUAAUUUGGCCCGCUCCACCUCAAUCUCCAGCUUCCUUCUGUGUAUUUGUCUUUCCCUCCUCCAGGUGGGGACGGGUUUCCCCCCCAGGUGGAACACUCCCACCUGGUGGUUUGCGCGUGGCCUUGAUCUUCCCCAGGAGGGCUGGCCCAAGGCGAGGCAGCAGCAGGUUCUGGACCACCAUUUGGCUGCUAAAGGCAAUGGGCUUCCUUCCACCUGAUCUUUCUUCCUCUGCACCUGAAUAGAAAUUUUAUUAUUAUUAUUUCUAGCUCUAUGGCUCAGGUGGAGAAGGGUUUCCCCCAGAAGGCACGCUCCCAUCUAAUUUUUUAAAAAAAUUAUUUAUUUAAAAUAUUUAUACCCCUCCCCUCCAGUGCACUACUGCUUGGGGCGGCUUACAACAAUAAGAUAGACACAAGAUACAAGUAAUAAAACUAAUUUUUUAAUUAAAAAAAUAAAGUCAGAUUAAAAACAAUUAUUAAGAUUAAAUUAAAACUGAAAAUUAUAAAAAGCUAAAGAACCUGCCAGAUAUAACAAAACAAAAAUGGAGCAUUAAAAAGCCUCCUUUAAAAGGUGUGUUUUGUCUUUUAAAAACACUAAGGGAGGGAGCAUGGUGGUUUUUUUGGUCAAAGACCGUAAAUAAAGUAUGAUGAUGAUGGUGAAGCUCAUCAGGGAGGGCAUUCCAAAGCCGAGGGGCCACAACCUAAAAAGCAACAGACGGGUCAUGAGCAGGGCCUGAGAUGAUGAGCAGAGGGCCCUGGCAGAUGCAUAUGGGCGAAUGUGGUCCGACACAAUGUCUUGGCCACACACUGAGCAGCCUAAAUCUUUCGGGGGGGGGGGGGGGGGGCUGGUGGGCUGCUCUCCUGAUGCAGUUCCCCCCUGGUGCCUUCUGCCUGGGGCUGCCUCUUUGACUUCACCCUUUCCAUUGAUGGUCCAUUAACAGGGGUUGGGCCAUUAAGGGAAAAGGUGAAUUCAAGUGAGGCCUAGCUGGUACUGGCCCCAGGAGGCAGCAGCAGCUUCCAGACUACUGUGUGGUUGCUGGAGGUGAUGUGCCAGGUCUUCUGCCCACUCUCUCCUCCUCUGCUCCUGAUAAGAAAGAAAUCUUGUUUUUAUUUAUUUCACACCUGUAUAUGGGGCCAAAAUUCACAUCACAUGGUGGUUUACUUUUCCUCUUCAAAUCUGUUUGGACAAAAGCAAGUCUCGGAAUUGUAUUCAAAUGCAGGACGGUAGACAGCAAGAUGAUUUUGUGUUGAAUUGGGGUCUUUUUAUUAAUUCCAUUAACUUCUAGAAUAAGAACAAAUAUGCAAUCUUUUAUUUGUUGUAAUUCUGGUGUAGCUAACUAAUGGUGCAGUGGGAAAAUGACUUUGACUAGCAAGCCAGAGGUUGCCGGUUUGAAUUGCUUCUGGUAUGUUUCUCAGACUAUGGGAAACACCUAUAUCGGGCAGCAGUGAUAUAGGAAGAUGCUGAAAGGCAUCAUCUCAGACUGCUUGGGAGAAGACAAUGGUAAACCCCUCCUGUAUUCUGCCAAAGACAACCACAUGGCUCUGGAGUCACCAGGAGUCAACACUGACUCAACGGCACACUUUAACUUCAAUACUGGUGUAGAACUGUAUUCCACCCCGCCCCCGUCUUGGCUAAUGGAAUAUAUUUGUUCUUGACUAAUGACAAAUACUUCUGUUUGUAUUUGUGAGAAAAUAAAAAGAUGGUAAAAUAA